This 814-nucleotide ribosomal RNA is filed under the name uncultured bacterium. RNAcentral's name for it is "bacterial SSU rRNA". It matches the Rfam family "Bacterial small subunit ribosomal RNA", at positions 8 to 807 of the family's 1533-position model. The record is from RNAcentral.
AGAGUUUGAUCCUGGCUCAGAACGACCGCUGGCGGCGCAUCUUAAGCAUGCAAGUCGGACGGGAUCGGUAGCUUGCUACCGUGAGAGUGGCGGACUGGUGAGUAACACGUAGGUGACGUACCCCCCGGAUUGGGAACAGCCUGUAGAAAUACAGGGUAAUGCCGGAUACGCUCGCUCCUGUUGGAGGGGAGUGAGGAAGACGAAGCAACUGCUUCGCCGGGGGAACGGCCUGCGGGCCAUCAGCUGGUUGGCGGGGUAAAGGCCCACCAAGGCAAUGACGGUUAUCCGGCCUUAGAGGGUGAUCGGGCACAUUGGGACUGAGAUACGGCCCAGACUCCUACGGGAGGCAGCAGCUAAGAAUAUUCCGCAAUGGACGAAAGUCUGACGGAGCGACGCCGCGUGGAUGAUGAAGGUCGGAAGAUUGUAAAAUCCUUUUAUAACUGAGGAAUAAGCAGUGUGAGAGAAACGCAUUGUGGUGACUGUAGGUUAUGAAUAAGCAACGGCUAAUUACGUGCCAGCAGCCGCGGUAACACGUAAGUUGCGAGCGUUGUUCGGAAUUAUUGGGCGUAAAGGGCAUGUAGGCGGUUUUGCAAGCUUGAUGUGAAAGGCAGGAGCUUAACUCCUGGACUGCGUUGAGAACUGCAUAACUAGAGUCACUGAGGGGCAAUCAGAAUUCCAGGUGUAGGGGUGAAAUCUGUAGAUAUCUGGAAGAAUACCAAUGGCGAAGGCAGGUUACCAGCAGAUGACUGACGCUGAGGUGCGAAGGUGCGGGGAGCAAACAGGAUUAGAUACCCUGGUAGUCCGCACAGUCAAC